This 481-nucleotide ribosomal RNA is filed under the name uncultured bacterium. Its description in RNAcentral is "bacterial SSU rRNA". It matches the Rfam family "Bacterial small subunit ribosomal RNA", at positions 29 to 534 of the family's 1533-position model. The record is from RNAcentral.
AAUGAACGCUGGCGGCAGGCCUAACACAUGCAAGUCAAGCGCCCCGCAAGGGGAGCGGCGGACGGGUGAGUAACGCGUGGGAACGUACCCUUUGCUACGGAAUAGCCUCGGGAAACUGGGAGUAAUACCGUAUGUGCCCUUCGGGGGAAAGAUUUAUCGGCAAAGGAUCGGCCCGCGUUGGAUUAGGUAGUUGGUGGGGUAAUGGCCUACCAAGCCGACGAUCCAUAGCUGGUCUGAGAGGAUGAUCAGCCACACUGGGACUGAGACACGGCCCAGACUCCUACGGGAGGCAGCAGUGGGGAAUAUUGGACAAUGGGCGCAAGCCUGAUCCAGCAAUGCCGCGUGUGUGAAGAAGGCCUGCGGGUUGUAAAGCACUUUCAGUGGGGAAGAACAGAUUCGGGUCAAUACCCCGGAGCCCUGACGUUACCCACAGAAGAAGCACCGGCUAACUCCGUGCCAGCAGCCGCGUAAUGUAGUCGUG